Molecule: ribosomal RNA, 1573 nt
Filed under: Escherichia coli
Lineage: Bacteria; Pseudomonadati; Pseudomonadota; Gammaproteobacteria; Enterobacterales; Enterobacteriaceae
Description: partial 23S ribosomal RNA
Rfam family: Bacterial large subunit ribosomal RNA
Source: RNAcentral
CGAAUGCUGACAUAAGUAACGAUAAAGCGGGUGAAAAGCCCGCUCGCCGGAAGACCAAGGGUUCCUGUCCAACGUUAAUCGGGGCAGGGUGAGUCGACCCCUAAGGCGAGGCCGAAAGGCGUAGUCGAUGGGAAACAGGUUAAUAUUCCUGUACUUGGUGUUACUGCGAAGGGGGGACGGAGAAGGCUAUGUUGGCCGGGCGACGGUUGUCCCGGUUUAAGCGUGUAGGCUGGUUUUCCAGGCAAAUCCGGAAAAUCAAGGCUGAGGCGUGAUGACGAGGCACUACGGUGCUGAAGCAACAAAUGCCCUGCUUCCAGGAAAAGCCUCUAAGCAUCAGGUAACAUCAAAUCGUACCCCAAACCGACACAGGUGGUCAGGUAGAGAAUACCAAGGCGCUUGAGAGAACUCGGGUGAAGGAACUAGGCAAAAUGGUGCCGUAACUUCGGGAGAAGGCACGCUGAUAUGUAGGUGAAGUCCCUCGCGGAUGGAGCUGAAAUCAGUCGAAGAUACCAGCUGGCUGCAACUGUUUAUUAAAAACACAGCACUGUGCAAACACGAAAGUGGACGUAUACGGUGUGACGCCUGCCCGGUGCCGGAAGGUUAAUUGAUGGGGUCAGCGCAAGCGAAGCUCUUGAUCGAAGCCCCGGUAAACGGCGGCCGUAACUAUAACGGUCCUAAGGUAGCGAAAUUCCUUGUCGGGUAAGUUCCGACCUGCACGAAUGGCGUAAUGAUGGCCAGGCUGUCUCCACCCGAGACUCAGUGAAAUUGAACUCGCUGUGAAGAUGCAGUGUACCCGCGGCAAGACGGAAAGACCCCGUGAACCUUUACUAUAGCUUGACACUGAACAUUGAGCCUUGAUGUGUAGGAUAGGUGGGAGGCUUUGAAGUGUGGACGCCAGUCUGCAUGGAGCCGACCUUGAAAUACCACCCUUUAAUGUUUGAUGUUCUAACGUGGACCCGUGAUCCGGGUUGCGGACAGUGUCUGGUGGGUAGUUUGACUGGGGCGGUCUCCUCCUAAAGAGUAACGGAGGAGCACGAAGGUUGGCUAAUCCUGGUCGGACAUCAGGAGGUUAGUGCAAUGGCAUAAGCCAGCUUGACUGCGAGCGUGACGGCGCGAGCAGGUGCGAAAGCAGGUCAUAGUGAUCCGGUGGUUCUGAAUGGAAGGGCCAUCGCUCAACGGAUAAAAGGUACUCCGGGGAUAACAGGCUGAUACCGCCCAAGAGUUCAUAUCGACGGCGGUGUUUGGCACCUCGAUGUCGGCUCAUCACAUCCUGGGGCUGAAGUAGGUCCCAAGGGUAUGGCUGUUCGCCAUUUAAAGUGGUACGCGAGCUGGGUUUAGAACGUCGUGAGACAGUUCGGUCCCUAUCUGCCGUGGGCGCUGGAGAACUGAGGGGGGCUGCUCCUAGUACGAGAGGACCGGAGUGGACGCAUCACUGGUGUUCGGGUUGUCAUGCCAAUGGCACUGCCCGGUAGCUAAAUGCGGAAGAGAUAAGUGCUGAAAGCAUCUAAGCACGAAACUUGCCCCGAGAUGAGUUCUCCCUGACCCUUUAAGGGUCCUGAAGGAACGUUGAAGA